RNAcentral lists this long non-coding RNA (204 nucleotides) under Homo sapiens (human). RNAcentral describes it as "non-protein coding lnc-PPDPFL-8:1". Lineage: Eukaryota; Metazoa; Chordata; Mammalia; Primates; Hominidae. The record is from RNAcentral.
AUGAUGGUUCCAGCGCAGGACCCGCAGAAGCCGCGCUCUCAGCCGGAAUUGCCUCAGAUGUUCCAGGCAGAAGCCCAGGAGGCCUCCAGGAACCGCCAGACCGGCAGGAGGAACGUCGAGGUCCAAGGCACAAGUCAGAGGUUCCUGGUCUGCAGGGGCCCAAGGCCUGCGUCACUACGGAGGGCCCCCCGUCCCCAUUCCUAG